This is a long non-coding RNA of Mus musculus (house mouse), 2531 nucleotides long. RefSeq annotates it as predicted gene, 32471. Lineage: Eukaryota; Metazoa; Chordata; Mammalia; Rodentia; Muridae. The transcript is spliced from 3 exons. The record is from RefSeq and is a predicted model, not a curated record.
CCCACCCCUUGUUUUCCACAUAAGAAGCAGCACACUGAGAGAGCUGCUGCUGUUUCUUGUGUACAAGUUGCCAAGGGAAGUCUCUAUUUUCAUACCGAACCUGGUUUCCUGGUGGGCACACUAAUUGUUGCCUGCUAAAAUCGCAACUCUGACAAAAAUGUCUCUAAUCUGUUUAGAUGUGCAUCGAAUCGGGAGCUGGCCAGGCAGUUAAACCAACAGACCGUUUCUAAUGAGCUGGAAACCAAACCCCUUUAAAAGAGACAGGCCCUGGUCUAGUGUCUCCAGCACAACUGGAAACAUGCGACCUCUGCCAACACUGGAGUUGCAGGACCAGUUUCUGCAGCCAUUAUCAACAGAAGCCAGUAGCAAGGUCACCAACUCCAAUGCCCUUGGGGACCAGGCAGGAUACCAGUGACUUCAAGAGGAAGGGUCAAGCUACAGAGCUAUGAACAGGAGCCGUGCUUUAUUUAGUGUCUACCAUGAAAUGCGGGGACCUCAUGGGUGCCCUAUUAGGACUUCCUCAAACUUUUCUGCUUCUUAGGGGGUUGGUCAGUGUGUGGUUAAGACACCCACACAUCCCGUCUGGCUUCAGAUCCCAGCCACCUCACAUUAGUGUGUCCAGUUCACGUGCACACGGAAUGAAAAGGCCAGCCACAAGCCUUCAGAAAUGUCCUCAGUGCUGGCACCCAGACACCACAAGUAUUUGUUGUGUGCUUUGGGUCACGUUUGUAUCAUAAUCCAGGCUUAGGAAAGAGGGCAUUUUCCAAAACUCUUACAAAGCAGCUGCGACCAAAUAAAAAUUGCAAGCUAACUGCAAAUGGCUGAAGUGAUCUGUCCUUUUGGUGCUCUGGACCACCUGAGUUCCAAGUGUGUGCAACACUACAUUAUGGGAUGGCAUGCACAGACAUGCGCAAGGCUAUUCCCAAACAACAAGAUAAGCAAGGUGCCAGACGUGCAGGCUGGAAGUCUGGGGAAUGCAGAGGAGGGAACCUCUCCCUGCUUGGGGUAUGCAGCUUAUCAGAGGAAGAAACCAGCACAUGAAAUCCAAGUUGUGUAGGGUUGUUUGGAGUAAAGGAAUCCCAGAUGAACAGGUUAGGGCAGGAACUUCCUUACCGAAACAGAUAGAACUAUGAUGUGAUCAGUGUCCAACCCUAGCCUAGGCUGUCCCACUGUACAGGAAGGGCCCUUGAACCCAAAAGUAUGAAGGAAGAAUUUGGUCUCCUUGUAUUGGGGCUGAGGAAGGAGUCCUGCGUCUGACUCAAGGUUAAACCCUGUGGAAUCAGGCCAGUCACCUUCACCACACUUUGCAUCUCAAUGAGCUCCCAUGCCGUAAUCGGAUGCCACUGUGCACUACAGAUAGGAUCUUACUUGAACUCUUAAGAUCAGAGGUUUGUGGGUUCAGAUUUCUGCCCUGCCACACUGGCUCUGUGGACCUCACACGGGUACAGAUUUUUCUGGCAUCUCUGUCUUUUGUAAUGAAGAAGAGAAUAUUGUGGGGCUCGUGAGAUGGCUCUGUGAUUAAGUGUGUUUCUGUCCCACCCCGUGAGAGAGAGCCAACCCCUGACACUAUAAAUGACACUCUGCUAUGCUUGAAGAAAGGAGCCUAGCACAACUGUCUCCUGAGAGGCUUCAUCCACCAGUGGAUAGAAACAGAUCUAGAGACAGACCAACACCCAAACAUCGGGCACACAGUAGGCACUUGGGAAUACUUGUGAACUGGAUAAACGAAUGCCAUCUCCGACUGAGUGAGAAGUCAGCAAACAAGAAGUGAGUUCCUGCAGUAUUUGGCCAGUUCCUCACACUGCUGCUGCUCCAACGUGUGGAUGAGGGUAUACGCCCCUGCUGUCUCUGUCCAGCUCCAUCUUGGAUCUUGGUCUCUAGGCCUAGCUCCUUCUUGGUUCUUUGGCCAGCUGUAGACUGAGGGUGGCGUAUGUGCACAUGCCCACUCUUUCUAACAUGUUCUUCUCACCACCUCCAGAUUGGUGCUAUUUUAGAUCCAGGGGUGUCAGGGGUAUAAAAGGAUGAAUUUUGGAAAUUGUGGCUGCAACAUGGACAGAGAGACCGCUGGGGCCUGAAAUAGCUGGAAGGCUACAGAACAUCUCAGAAUAGCAUCCGGCUUCACCACAAUUCCAGGAUAGAGCCUCACACACACCCAAGAGGGCCAGAGACACCGUUUGCACAGCAGCCUGGGGUAUGCAUGGAAAGUCUUCUGGGUGGAAAAAUGAGUCACCAAAGGAAGCCAAAUAUUGUUCUUGUUCAGAGAAGAGGGCAGAGUCUUCAGAGGUUCCGAUGGUUGUUCCAGAAGAUGGUGAGAGUGUAGGGUGAGGUGCUAAGACCCUAGUGUGGUCACAGGGUCAAGAGUAUCUUAGGCUUGAUGAAUGAGUGACAGAACUGGGAUUCAAAUGGCAGUUCAUCUGCUUCUACAUGUGGAUGCUGGGCCUGGGCCCUUUGGGGGAGGAAUGUCAUAGCAAGGGUGGCAUGCUUACAGCCUUUGAGUAUUUAAGAAUUCUCUCUUCAAGUUUCCUCCCCCC